CAGCAGCCACGGUAAUACGUAGGGUGCGAGCGUUAAUCGGAAUUACUGGGCGUAAAGCGUGCGCAGGCGGUUGUGUAAGACAGGUGUGAAAUCCCCGGGCUUAACCUGGGAACUGCGCUUGUGACUGCACAGCUAGAGUAUGGCAGAGGGGGGUGGAAUUCCACGUGUAGCAGUGAAAUGCGUAGAGAUGUGGAGGAACACCGAUGGCGAAGGCAGCCCCCUGGGCCAAUACUGACGCUCGUGCACGAAAGCGUGGGGAGCAAACAGGAUUAGAUACCCGAGUAGUCCCUGUCUCUUAUAC
Molecule: ribosomal RNA, 301 nt
Filed under: uncultured bacterium
Lineage: Bacteria
Description: partial 16S ribosomal RNA
Rfam family: Bacterial small subunit ribosomal RNA
Source: RNAcentral